CUAUGCUACCAUGUAGGUGAGUACUUUUCUUUAACCUAGAUUCACUUCAUUUAUCCUUAAUAUCUGAUAUAGUUGAAGUUUUUUAAGAAUUGAUUAUGCUUUGUUUCUUUAGUAUGUUUGGGCUUUUAUUGGUAUUCAUAGUUCCAUUUCAAUUGUAUGGUUCUUGGAAGACAAUUUUCUAAGUAUUCAUAUUUGUAUAUGAAAAUCACUGGAUUGGAUGUUGUGCUGUUGAUUGCUUCUGAAUUGGGUUGGAUGACCGAACGAGAUGAGUUUCGUGGGUUAAUGUUGUAUUGAAGUGACAAUAAGUUGACUGGGAAUGUAUCUAUAUAUUUCAUGAGGCUUGUCAAAUUUAGCACUCCAAUUUUGAGUAACAAAGGUUAGAAGUUUAAAUUUUAGCUUCCACUCUUUGCUUUGGAUUAUGGAUUUCAUUAUACUUCAGCAUUGCAGUCAUGUGGAGUACUUUCUAGUUUGCUGAUGUUUUUUUCUUCUUUAUGUAUGUAAGAGCACCAUCGUGUCGUUGUUUGUUCAGUUGAGUGUUCUUGUCGGAAAUGCUGUAUAUUUGCGUUUAUCAAAUUAACUUCCAUGAUAACUUUGAUCUCUUUAUAUCGUUUUUGGUUAUUGAUGUGCAGAAGACAGUGGAUGAAGAUGCCUCAACCCCCUCCACGGUGACUGCAUCUCAACUUAGAGUUCACGUAGGGUUCUUGAAAGGGGUGAACGUUGUAUAAACAAAUUUUAUGUUAUUGGUUGCGAUGAUUUUUGUAUAAACAGGUCCAAAUUGACUUACACUUUUGCUUGCCUAGCUCGUUCAUGUCAUUGUUGUUGGUUGCAAUGAAUGUUAUAUAAACCCGGUAUGCAGGCGCACAUGGAUGAUCCUAGAUUUUUGUACAUUAUGUUUGAAUGUGUUGUAUCAGAAGUACUUGUAUGAAGUUGCCAUUUGUUGCUCUUUAUGCAUGCGCGUGUGACUAUAACUUAUGUAUUCCGGAAUUUCCACUAACUCGAGAGUAUACAGUGUAGUUCGAUUCGUCAUCUAAAAGACAG
This 1038-nucleotide long non-coding RNA is filed under the name Olea europaea (common olive). Its description in RNAcentral is "long non-coding RNA (OEUR_LNC004025)". Lineage: Eukaryota; Viridiplantae; Streptophyta; Magnoliopsida; Lamiales; Oleaceae. The record is from RNAcentral.